AUGUACCCGUGCAACUGGACCGGCAUCACCUGCGGGGACACUCUGUCAAGCAGAGGAACCAUGGUGAAGGUCAUCACAGGAAUUUCCCUUGAUGGUGCCAGCAUUGCAGGGCGACUGGACAAACUGAGAUUCCAGUCGCUCCCUUACGUUGUCAACCUCGAUCUUAGCGACAACUACCAUCUCUCCGGUGCCAUCCCUCCAGGCAUCGGCUCUCUUUCCAUGCUUUCUACCCUCAACUUCUCUGGUGAUCAGCUCAGCGGGCACAUACCUGCAUCAUUCUGCAACCUUGGACAGCUCACAGGGAUGGACCUCUCCAGCAACAAUCUCACCGGACAAAUCCCUCCUGCUUUAGGUAAUCUCUCAAGACUUGGUUUUCUUUAUCUACGUGGGAAUAGGCUCUCGGGUAACAUCCCCUGGCACCUCGAACAGCUUCAGAACAUGAGAGAGAUGGAUUUGAGCCUUAAUGACAUUUCUGGCCAUGUACCUUCCGCCCUUGCAAACCUGACCAACCUCGACUAUCUGGACCUUUCUGAUAAUCGUCUGUCAGGACCCAUACCUAAAGAACUAGGACACAUCCAAACCCUGCAAGAACUACACUUGGAGAAAAACAAUCUGAGCGGCACAAUUCCGCCCUCCCUUGGUAACCUGACAGUGCUCACAUACCUGACAGCAUAUCGGAACCAAUACACUGGUCCAAUACCGGCAGAGUUUGGGAUGCUCUCGAGCUUGAUUGGGUUGGACUUGUCAGGUAACCACAUAACCGGAUCCAUCCCUCAUGAGUUUGGGAAUCUCGUGAAUCUGGAAACCCUUGCCCUCUCGGACAAUUUGAUAGUUGGAUCAGUGCCAUCAAGUAUUGGGAACAUGUCUUCACUCAAACAAUUAAUAAUACAUAACAAUAGUAUCUCCGGGGAAUUGCCGACCGAGUUUGGAAAUUUGCUAAAUUUGGAGUAUCUUAUGUCCUAUGAAAACCAAUUGUCCGGCUCAAUCCCUCCAAGUUAUGGAAAAUUGGUCAAGAUGACACAAAUGCGACUGUUCAACAACCAGCUCUCCGGCCCUGUGCCUCCAGCACUGUCCAACCUUACCAAUUUAGUCGUCAUUGCACUGGAUGACAACCAGCUGAUCGGACACUUGCCAGAUUUGUGCCAAAGUAAAAAGCUACAGGUUUUACAAGUUCAUAACAACAAUCUAGAUGGUCCUGUCCCAAAAGGCUUGAGGGAUUGCAGUUCAUUAACAUCGCUCAUGAUCGCCAAUAAUUAUAUUGAGGGAAACAUAACUGAAGCAUUUGGUGUGUAUCCACACCUCGAUACGAUCAAUUUAUCUUCAAAUAGAUUUGUUGGGCAGCUCUCGCCGAAUUGGGGCUCAUGUCAAAACUUGACAAGUAUUAAUUUUGCACACAAUAUGAUAGAAGGCAGUAUACCUUCUGAGGUUGGGGUGCUGAAAAAUCUUGGAAAGCUUAAACUGAGUUUCAAUAGGUUGACCAGUGAGAUACCACCGGAAAUUGGCAAGUUAAGCAACCUCUAUUGGAUGGAUUUAAGAAACAAUCAACUAUCUGGCCAGAUCCCUAAGCAAAUCGGCCAACUUAGCAAUCUUGAGAUUCUUGAUUUCUCAAGCAACCUGUUGAGCGGUAAAGUGCCAGAAGAGAUGGGAAAUUGUUUGAAACUGCAGUCAUUACAUAUGAAUAACAACAGCCUUAGUGGAAGUCUUCCUGGUAGUUUGGGCCAUUUAGCUUCCCUGCAAAGAAUGCUUGAUCUUAGCAUGAAUAGUCUCAGCGGACCAAUACCGUCAGAACUCAGCAACCUAGAGAUGCUGAUGUAUGUAAACUUCUCACACAAUCAAUUCAGUGGUGCAAUCCCUGCCUCCAUUGCAAGCAUGCAAAGCCUAUCAAUAUUUGAUGUUGCAUAUAACCUCCUUGAAGGCACUGUCCCAAAUGGGAUCCAGAAUGCAUCAGCUGAAUGGUUUCUCCACAACAAAGGUCUUUGUGGAGACCUUGUUGGACUGUCUCCUUGUGAUUUGCCCCCUGCAGAUCAUAGGCGAAAGCACCAAAAGAUUAUACUACCAGUCAGUCUAACUAUGUUUGUCGCUACUAUUUCAAUAACAGCAGGUGUGAUAGCCUUUAUGAUUUGCCGCAAGAAAGUACCUCAAAAUACUGAUGAUGUGAGCAAAAGGGAUGUAUUCUCUGUAUGGAGCUUUGAUGGCAGAAUAGCAUUUGAAGAUAUUAUCAAUGCAACUGACAAUUUCGAUAAGAAACAUUGCAUUGGAGAGGGAUCAUACGGCAGUGUUUAUGAAGCAAAACUUCAAGAUGAACAAGUGGUCGCAGUAAAGAAACUCCAUGCAGGCGAUGAAGAGGCACAAGAUGAAGAAAGAUUCCGGCAUGAGAUUGAAAUGUUAACAACAAUUCGCCAACGCAGCAUCGUCAAGCUAUAUGGAUAUUGUUCUCAUCCGCGGUUCCGGUUCCUUGUGUGCCAGUUUAUACAGAGAGGAAAUCUAGCUUCAACCUUAAGAAAUGAAGAACUAGCAAUCCAGUUCCACUGGCAAAGGAGGACAGCUUUAAUAAGAGAUCUGGCUCAAGCCAUCGCUUACCUCCAUCAUGAUGUUCACCCACCCAUAAUUCAUCGAGACAUCACAAGCAGAAACAUCUUACUAGAUACUGAUUUCAAAGCAUUUGUCUCGGACUUCGGUAUUGCAAGAAUGUUAAAACCUGAUUCGUCAAACUAGAGUGCACUAGCAGGGACCUACGGCUACAUAGCACCCGAAUGUUCCUACACUUCCCUAGUUACAGAGAAAUGUGAUGUAUAUAGCUUUGGCGUUGUGGUGCUUGAGGUGUUGAUGGGCAAACACCCUGGAGAUUUGCAGGCUUUUCAUUCUUCACUCGAGGACCAGUUUCUACUGGAAGAAAUUUUGGACAAACGACUUCCACAACCCGAAGCUGGGGAGGAAGAAGUGAGACGGUGCAUCUCCGUGGCAUUUGAGUGCCUAACUCCUUCACCCAAAGAAAGGCCAACUAUGCUGAAAGUUUAUCGAGAUCUUUCCAUCUGAAGUCACAUGUUAAAUUCUUCCAGAUGUAUCAUCUUAGCCUUGUUUAGUUCUCAAUAAAACUUGGGCUAACUUAGCUGUCCAAGCAUUUUCAACCCGAAUAAAUAAGGCUAUUUCUGUUGGGCAUCAUAGAAUAUAUGGGCCACGAACUCACGAUAGAGUCGUGAUCUAAACGCUCUUACAAUUCUUUACAGAGAGAGUAUAAUUGUUCUUUCUAUGAUCAUACAGAUCAUGGAUCAUGCUUAUGAUAAUAUUUUGGG
RNAcentral lists this ribosomal RNA (3293 nucleotides) under Triticum aestivum (bread wheat). RNAcentral describes it as "partial small subunit ribosomal RNA". The record is from RNAcentral. Lineage: Eukaryota; Viridiplantae; Streptophyta; Magnoliopsida; Poales; Poaceae.